Long non-coding RNA from Scleropages formosus (Asian bonytongue), 617 nucleotides. RefSeq lists it as uncharacterized. NCBI's taxonomy places the organism in Eukaryota, Metazoa, Chordata, Actinopteri, Osteoglossiformes, Osteoglossidae. The record is from RefSeq and is a predicted model, not a curated record. The transcript is spliced from 3 exons.
CCCCGACCGCCGAUCGACCGACCGUUCGCCUGUCCCCGACACCGAGAACUUGCCCGAUCCCCUGAAUCCGAAUGAACCACUCCGCACUCGGGUCCUGCCGUCCCGGUUCUCUCGGCCGCCCGUGACAACGUAAGGCCGACGGUUUUCCUCAAGACACAAUAAGAAACAAGACUGCAGUGACGCAGUUACUGAGGCUCUCUCCUCACACGCCAGCUGAGCCGCUUCACCUCUACUUCACUUCAACUUGAAUCGGGAAGCAAAGACAACUCGCCAGUGCUUCGUGAUCCAUGUCAACAGUCAGAGCAAAACAUCCUCCUCCCCCAAUCCGUCACCGUCGAUCUGCGUGAAUCACUAGCUCUGGGUUUCUCAUCGCCACUAAAAAAAAAAUCCUUUUCAACAAAAAUCAUGUCAUUGACCAGAAACUAACAUAACCUCGAUUUAGAGUAAAUUACAUUUAUAAUGCACAUUGCCUCUAAAUGUGAGUAUUGUAUUAAUCCUCAGCGGGAUACAUUUCACAGAAAGGAAAACAACCUUCGACAGCCUUUUAUCUGCAUGGCUUGCUGAAUAACAAAGAGCCACCUCCACCCCCUUCUCCAUGAGGUCAGAUCAUGUUAUUG